RNAcentral lists this ribosomal RNA (203 nucleotides) under uncultured bacterium. RNAcentral describes it as "partial 16S ribosomal RNA". It matches the Rfam family "Bacterial small subunit ribosomal RNA", at positions 1290 to 1500 of the family's 1533-position model. The record is from RNAcentral.
AGUUCGGAUUGGAGUCUGCAACCCGACUCCAUGAAGCUGGAUUCGCUAGUAAUCGCGCAUCAGCCACGGCGCGGUGAAUACGUUCCCGGGCCUUGUACACACCGCCCGUCAAGCCAUGGAAGCCGGGAGUGCCUGAAGUGCGUGAGCGCAAGCAGCGCCCUAAGGUAAAACCGGUGACUGGGGCUAAGUCGUAACAAGGUAGC